This 84-nucleotide transfer RNA is filed under the name Methanosarcina sp. Its description in RNAcentral is "tRNA-Leu". Lineage: Archaea; Methanobacteriati; Methanobacteriota; Methanomicrobia; Methanosarcinales; Methanosarcinaceae. The record is from RNAcentral.
GCGAGGAUUGCUCAGUCAGGUCAAAGGCGAUGGUUCAGGGCCUAUUCUCGUAGGAGUUCGUGCGUUUGAAUCGCACCCCUCGCA